UAAGAGGUCUCGCCUGCCCUGUGACUAUAUGUUUAACGGCCGCGGUAUUUUAACCGUGCGAAGGUAGCGCAAUCACUUGUCUUUUAAAUGGAGACCUGUAUGAAUGGCACGACGAGGGCUUAACUGUCUCCUUUCCCCAGUCAAUGAAAUUGAUCUCCCCGUGCAGAAGCGGGGAUAUAAACAUAAGACGAGAAGACCCUAUGGAGCUUUAGACACUAAAGCAGGUUACGUUAAAAAUAGCUAAACACAGAACUAAACUAAAUAACCACUGCCCUAAUGUCUUUGGUUGGGGCGACCGCGGAGAACAAAAAACCCCUGUGUGGAAUGGGAGUAUAGCUCCUAGAAACAAGAGCGCCAGCUCUAGUUAACAGAAUUUCUGACCUACCAGACCCGGCACCUAGCCGAUCAACGGACCGAGUUACCCUAGGGAUAACAGCGCAAUCCCCUUUUAGAGACCGUAUCAACAAGGGGGCUUACGACCUCGAUGUUGGAUCAGGACAUCCUAAUGGUGCAGCCGCUAUUAAGGGUUCGUUUGUUCAACG
RNAcentral lists this ribosomal RNA (542 nucleotides) under Acanthocepola limbata (blackspot bandfish). RNAcentral describes it as "partial 16S ribosomal RNA". It matches the Rfam family "Bacterial large subunit ribosomal RNA", at positions 1846 to 2586 of the family's 2925-position model. The record is from RNAcentral. Lineage: Eukaryota; Metazoa; Chordata; Actinopteri; Priacanthiformes; Cepolidae (in: ray-finned fishes).